Molecule: ribosomal RNA, 500 nt
Filed under: uncultured bacterium
Lineage: Bacteria
Description: partial 16S ribosomal RNA
Rfam family: Bacterial small subunit ribosomal RNA
Source: RNAcentral
AUUGAACGCUGGCGGAAUGCUUUACACAUGCAAGUCGAACGGCAGCACGGACUUCGGUCUGGUGGCGAGUGGCGAACGGGUGAGUAAUGUAUCGGAACGUGCCCAGUCGUGGGUGAUAACGUAGUGAAAAUUACGCUAAUCACGCAUACGAUCUAUGGAUGAACGCGGGGGAUCGCAAUACCGCGCGCGAUUGGAGCGCCCGAUAUCCGAUUAGGUAUGUGGUGGGGUAAAGGCCCACCAAGCCAACGAUCUGUAGCUGGUCUGAGAGGACGACCAGCCACACUGGAACUGAGACACGGUCCAGACUCCUACGGGAGGCAGCAGUGGGGAAUUUUGGACAAUGGGCGAAAGCCUGAUCCAGCCAUUCCGCGUGCAGGAUGAAGGCCCUCGGGUUGUAAACUGCUUUUGUACAGAACGAAAAGGUUUCUACUAAUACUAGGGGCUCAUGACGGUACUGUAAGAAUAAGCACCGGCUAACUACGUGCCAGCCGCCGCCGUAA